UGGCUCAGUGGAUGAGAGCACUGGCUGUUCUUCCAGAGGACCUGGGUUCAAUUCCCAG
This 58-nucleotide transfer RNA is filed under the name Neotoma lepida (desert woodrat). It matches the Rfam family "tRNA", at positions 8 to 63 of the family's 71-position model. From Rfam's summary of the family: Transfer RNA (tRNA) molecules are approximately 80 nucleotides in length. Their secondary structure includes four short double-helical elements and three loops (D, anti-codon, and T loops). The record is from Rfam by way of RNAcentral. Lineage: Eukaryota; Metazoa; Chordata; Mammalia; Rodentia; Cricetidae.